UCGGAUCAGCUCACGACGUGCUCACUCUUCACCUCGAUGGAUCGCUCAAGAAGAUGCUCAAGGAUGCAGGAGCUCUCUGGCUUUGAUCUCUAAUCAUGUUGUAUGAAAGAAAGAAAGAAAGAAAGAAAGAAAGAAAGAAAGAAAGAAAGCAUCAUUACUGUUGGAUCAAACAAGGCCAACUGUGUGAACUGUGUGAAACUGUAAUUGUAGUUUUUUUUUUUAAAGCAUGAGUUUGAAAGGUGAAGCAUAGAGCUCAGUUUUAUUCAUGAGCUUUGAUGUAAUGUAGCUUCACUUUGACUCAACUCAUCACUCUUUGUAACUUUCUUACCUCAAUGGGAUAUGCU
This 344-nucleotide long non-coding RNA is filed under the name Salvia miltiorrhiza (redroot sage). Its description in RNAcentral is "long non-coding RNA (SMIL_LNC006507)". Lineage: Eukaryota; Viridiplantae; Streptophyta; Magnoliopsida; Lamiales; Lamiaceae. The record is from RNAcentral.